Molecule: long non-coding RNA, 468 nt
Filed under: Penaeus japonicus
Lineage: Eukaryota; Metazoa; Arthropoda; Malacostraca; Decapoda; Penaeidae
Description: uncharacterized LOC122254998, transcript variant X1
Source: RNAcentral
GAGAGAGAGAGAGAGAGAGAGAGAGAGAGAGAGAGAGAGAGAGAGGCGCUAGACACGUUCAGUUCCAGUAUGGGACGGGGCUCUUACAGGCCCACGGACAACACGCCUAACAGCGAGCCAGUCUUCAUCCUGCCAUCGUGUGUGGUGCUUGUGGUUUAGGUUUUGGAAGUAAAACAUUGGUGAUACGACAUGUCUAAAUAAUUACUGAAAGCAUGUUAGAGGAAUUCAACGUUGUUGGUAGUGAAUCAGUCCUUCGAUCCUUGUGAGUUUGUCGACGUUGACAGUGUUAGUGGCACAGCAACUGUGGUUAAUAGAUGCAGUAGUGGAAGCGUGCUCUGGUGAAAGCAGGCGACGCCGAAGGGCUGCAGACCGCCCUCGGCUCCCUAUCUGCAGGCGCCCUCUCGACUUUCUUGGGUGACACGGAUUUGUUUGGUUGGACUCCCUUACACUGGGCUUCCCGGAACGGCC